Hordeum vulgare subsp. vulgare (domesticated barley) is the source of this 319-nucleotide long non-coding RNA. RefSeq lists it as uncharacterized. The record is from RefSeq and is a predicted model, not a curated record. The transcript is spliced from 2 exons. Lineage: Eukaryota; Viridiplantae; Streptophyta; Magnoliopsida; Poales; Poaceae.
CAGGGACGACUAUGCCAACAACUGUUUGCGCAUUAACUAAUUAAUAGCACAGGCAAAUCUUGCUUUAUCUAAUGUAAGAAGAGGGUCAAAGUUUGUUCAACUAUGCGCACUUUUUUUAACUAAGUAGUAAUACAUACAACAAAGGUUGCCAUCCACGAGCAUUGCCUCGAGUUGCUUGAUGUAUGUGGAGCAUUUGUUUGUAACAUAAUCCAAGGUACGUAUCUGAUGAAGGGGAAAUUGUAUGUACACGUUUUAUGUACCGGUAUAUAUGUGUUGUCUCAAACUAUAAAACAUGAUCAAUGAUAAUUUUUUCAUUAAA